This is an RNA transcript of Drosophila innubila, 1368 nucleotides long. It is a transcript of the gene named synaptobrevin, with no coding region annotated. The transcript is spliced from 5 exons. NCBI's taxonomy places the organism in Eukaryota, Metazoa, Arthropoda, Insecta, Diptera, Drosophilidae. The record is from RefSeq and is a predicted model, not a curated record.
CAGUGCUGUCAGAAAAAGACUGUCAGUGUGUGUGUGCACUUUACUGACAUUUUCAAUCAAAAUUAAAAGAAAAUUGAAAAGCAUAGCAAAGCAGAAUAUAAAGCAAACGGCUUUAAAACUAACAAAUUAAUCGUACAAUAAACAUUUCCCAGCACAAAGAUGGAGAACAAUGAAGCGCCCGCACCUUCUGGAUCCAAUAAUAAUGAUUUUCCCAUACUUCCGCCACCGCCGAACAACAACAACUUUCACGACAUGAACAACAGCAACAACAACGCCGCACAGAAGCGUCUGCAGCAGACACAGGCCAAAGUGGACGAGGUCGUCGGCAUAAUGCGUGUCAAUGUCGAGAAGGUCCUCGAACGUGACCAGAAAUUGUCGGAGCUCGGCGAACGAGCCGAUCAAUUGGAACAGGGUGCCUCACAGUUCGAGCAACAGGCCGGCAAACUGAAGCGCAAGCAAUGGUGGGCCAACAUGAAGAUGAUGAUCAUUCUGGGCGUCAUUGCUGUCGUCUUGCUCAUCAUUAUCAUAGUCUCGAUAUACAAUUGAUAAACAAGACACAAGAAAACCAAUAGAUAAACAUGCAACAAGGCAACUUGUUGAGCUUACAACAUACGCAUAACUCUAAGGCAGCUAUUACCACACACACAUUCAAUAUAUAUAUUUAUAUGUGUAUUAAUAUUUAACGCAAAUGAUAUACAACUUUAAACAAUUUAGUUUAAGAAAAGUGAGCGCUUUGCCAUCGAGCAGCAGCAGCAACAGCACCUCCGAUCAUGGCACGUAAGACGCCCUUUGCCACGCCCCCAAGGAAAAAACAUUCAACAAAAAGAGAGAAAAAAAAAGGAAAAUGGGAAAAAAAACUCGGUUGCCUUCGUUCAGGCCUUAAGCGUAAAAAGAAAAACAAAAAUAAUAUGAAAACUGUGUCUAAAACUAUGUAUUAACACUAAAACAAAUUGUACUAUUAUUAUUAAUAUUCUUAAAUGUUAAACAAACAUUAUUUUCACAUAUAUAUGUAUUGUAAACGCAACAAUAAUGCCAACCCUCAGUUGGCAUUAAUAAGUAAAUCGAUGAAAGAAACAAUAAUAAUAAUAAUGUGGCAUUUGAAAUGUCAAUGUGUGUGUGUGAGUGCGUGUAUGUGAGAGGGUUUUCCUUUUGCAGUUAAAACAGUUAAACAUUUUGCAUAUUUAUAUAUAUACUUAUGUACACAAGGCACACACGCACAACACAAUUUUAUACACAUUGUUCUAUAAAUUAUUUAUAUUUAUGUGGAACUUUAUAUACAUAUAUACUUUAUAUACAAUGGCAUGUAAUUUGUUAUAAACGUUUUUUCGGUGUUUAACUAAAUGUAAUACAACGUACGUUUGCCACAAA